GCUGGCGGCGUGCUUAACACAUGCAAGUCGAACGGAAAGGCCCUGCUUUUGUGGGGUGCUCGAGUGGCGAACGGGUGAGUAACACGUGAGUAACCUGCCCUUGACUUUGGGAUAACUUCAGGAAACUGGGGCUAAUACCGGAUAGGAGCUCCUGCUGCAUGGUGGGGGUUGGAAAGUUUCGGCGGUUGGGGAUGGACUCGCGGCUUAUCAGCUUGUUGGUGGGGUAGUGGCUUACCAAGGCUUUGACGGGUAGCCGGCCUGAGAGGGUGACCGGCCACAUUGGGACUGAGAUACGGCCCAGACUCCUACGGGAGGCAGCAGUGGGGAAUAUUGCACAAUGGGCGGAAGCCUGAUGCAGCAACGCCGCGUGCGGGAUGACGGCCUUCGGGUUGUAAACCGCUUUCGCCUGUGACGAAGCGUGAGUGACGGUAAUGGGUAAAGAAGCACCGGCUAACUACGUGCCAGCAGCCGCGGUGAUACGUAGGGUGCGAGCGUUGUCCGGAUUUAUUGGGCGUAAAGGGCUCGUAGGUGGUUGAUCGCGUCGGAAGUGUAAUCUUGGGGCUUAACCCUGAGCGUGCUUUCGAUACGGGUUGACUUGAGGAAGGUAGGGGAGAAUGGAAUUCCUGGUGGAGCGGUGGAAUGCGCAGAUAUCAGGAGGAACACCAGUGGCGAAGGCGGUUCUCUGGGCCUUUCCUGACGCUGAGGAGCGAAAGCGUGGGGAGCGAACAGGCUUAGAUACCCUGGUAGUCCACGCUGUAAACGGUGGGUACUAGGUGUGGGGUCCAUUCCACGGGUUCCGUGCCGUAGCUAACGCUUUAAGUACCCCGCCUGGGGAGUACGGCCGCAAGGCUAAAACUCAAAGGAAUUGACGGGGCCCCGCACAAGCGGCGGAGCAUGCGGAUUAAUUCGAUGCAACGCGUAGAACCUUACCUGGGUUUGACAUGGAUCGGGAGUGCUCAGAGAUGGGUGUGCCUCUUUUGGGGUCGGUUCACAGGUGGUGCAUGGCUGUCGUCAGCUCGUGUCGUGAGAUGUUGGGUUAAGUCCCGCAACGAGCGCAACCCUUGUUCACUGUUGCCAGCACGUUAUGGUGGGGACUCAGUGGAGACCGCCGGGGUCAACUCGGAGGAAGGUGGGGAUGACGUCAAGUCAUCAUGCCCCUUAUGUCCAGGGCUUCACGCAUGCUACAAUGGCUGGUACAGAGAGUGGCGAGCCUGUGAGGGUGAGCGAAUCUCGGAAAGCCGGUCUCAGUUCGGAUUGGGGUCUGCAACUCGACCUCAUGAAGUCGGAGUCGCUAGUAAUCGCAGAUCAGCAACGCUGCGGUGAAUACGUUCCCGGGGCUUGUACACACCGCCCGUCAAGUCAUGAAAGUUGGUAACACCCGAAGCCGGUGGCCUAACCGUUGAAGGGGAGCCGUCGAAGGUGGGACUGGUGAU
RNAcentral lists this ribosomal RNA (1433 nucleotides) under uncultured organism. Its description in RNAcentral is "16S ribosomal RNA". It matches the Rfam family "Bacterial small subunit ribosomal RNA". The record is from RNAcentral.